RNAcentral lists this ribosomal RNA (461 nucleotides) under uncultured bacterium. Its description in RNAcentral is "partial 16S ribosomal RNA". It matches the Rfam family "Bacterial small subunit ribosomal RNA", at positions 338 to 795 of the family's 1533-position model. The record is from RNAcentral.
CCUACGGGAGGGCUGCAGUGAGGAAUAUUGGUCAAUGGGCACGAGCCUGCACCAGCCCAGUAGCGUGGAGGAUGACUUCCCUACGUGUUGUACCCUUCUUUUAUAAAAGAAUAAAGUGAUGCACGAAUGCCUUUUUGUAUGUCCUUUAUGGAUAAGGAUCCGCUAACUCCGUGCCAGCCGCCGCCGGCAUACGGAGGCUCCGAGCGUUCUCCGGAUUUAUUGGGUUUAAAGGGAGCGUAGAUGGGUUGUUAAGUCAGUUGUGAAAGCGUGCGGCUCAACCGUAAAAUUGCAAUUGAUAGUGGCAGCCUUGAGUACAGUUGAGGUAGGCGGAAUUCGUGGUGUAGCGGUGAAAUGCUUAGAUAUCACGAAGAACUUCGAUUGCGAAGGCAGCUUACUAAACCGCCACUGACACUGAUGCUCGAAAGUGUGGGUAGCAAACAGGAUUAGAUACCCCAGUAGUC